This 363-nucleotide ribosomal RNA is filed under the name Triticum aestivum (bread wheat). Its description in RNAcentral is "partial small subunit ribosomal RNA". The record is from RNAcentral. Lineage: Eukaryota; Viridiplantae; Streptophyta; Magnoliopsida; Poales; Poaceae.
AUGUCACGGGUGCCUCUCGCAAAACAUGUGCAAGCUUGUGCGGUUGCAAAAUUCUUGACAAGUGUGUGCGUCCUUGUGAUCGCUUCAAUCUUUACCCGGAAGCAGCUAAACUGUAAACAUAUUCUUUCCAUUCUUUCAUUUUCCUCUCAAGCACAAAGAAUUAUAUUUAAACACACGAGGUUUGUUUUCCCAGACGAAGCAAAAGUCAUUGAGUAUUGCAAGUUGGGAUGCAUGUCCUUUGUCUGCAACACCACAAACACUUUCAUUGUCGGUGAACAAGAGAAAGAUGUCAUAGAGAAUUGCACAACUGAAUGCGAUCGUGUCUGUACCAAGGAUGUUGAAUUUGCCGAAGCUAUUGCAUAA